Long non-coding RNA from Diabrotica virgifera virgifera (western corn rootworm), 702 nucleotides. RefSeq lists it as uncharacterized. The record is from RefSeq and is a predicted model, not a curated record. The transcript is spliced from 5 exons. NCBI's taxonomy places the organism in Eukaryota, Metazoa, Arthropoda, Insecta, Coleoptera, Chrysomelidae.
UGUGCACUCUCAAAUGCUCUUUCAAAUUACCUGCUUGACUAAAUUGCUUAAAACAAAUUUCACACUUGUGAGGUUUUUCUCCAGUGUGCACUCUCAAAUGUGGUUUCAAAGAACCUGCUUGACUAAACUGCUUAAAACAAAUUUCACACUUGUGAGGUUUUUCCCCAGUGUGCGCUCUCAAAUGCUCUUUCAAAUUACCUGCUUGACUAAAUUGCUUAAAACAAAUUUUACACUUGUGAGGUUUUUCUCCAGUGUGCACUCUCAAAUGUGGUUUCAAAGAACCUGCUUGACUAAACUGCUUAAAACAAAUUUCACACUUGUGAGGUUUUUCCCCAGUGUGCGCUCUCAAAUGCUCUUUCAAAUUACCUGCUUGACUAAAUUGCUUAAAACAAAUUUUACACUUGUGAGGUUUUUCCCCAGUGUGCGCUCUCAAAUGCUCUUUCAAAUUACCUGCUUGACUAAAUUGCUUAAAACAAAUUUUACACUUGUGAGGUUUUUCUCCUGUGUGUACUCUUAAAUGCUGUUUUAAAGUACAUGCUACACUAAAUUGCUUAAAACAAAUUUCACACUUGUAAGGUUUUUCUCCUGUGUGUACUCUUAAAUGCUGUUUUAAAGUACAUGCUACACUAAAUUGCUUAAAACAAAUUUCACACUUGUAAGGUUUUUCCCCAGUGUGCACUCUCAAAUGCUGUUUCAAAUUAC